Molecule: ribosomal RNA, 156 nt
Filed under: Triticum aestivum (bread wheat)
Lineage: Eukaryota; Viridiplantae; Streptophyta; Magnoliopsida; Poales; Poaceae
Description: rRNA 5_8S_rRNA
Rfam family: 5.8S ribosomal RNA
About the family: 5.8S ribosomal RNA (5.8S rRNA) is a component of the large subunit of the eukaryotic ribosome. It is transcribed by RNA polymerase I as part of the 45S precursor that also contains 18S and 28S rRNA. Functionally, it is thought that 5.8S rRNA may be involved in ribosome translocation.
Source: RNAcentral
GACUCUCGGCAACGGAUAUCUCGGCUCUCGCAUCGAUGAAGAACGUAGUGAAAUGCGAUACCUGGUGUGAAUUGCAGAAUCCCGCGAACCAUCGAGUCUUUGAACGCAAGUUGCGCCCGAGGCCACUCGGCCGAGGGCACGCCUGCCUGGGCGUCA